This 727-nucleotide small RNA is filed under the name Pan troglodytes (chimpanzee). RNAcentral describes it as "processed transcript". The record is from RNAcentral. Lineage: Eukaryota; Metazoa; Chordata; Mammalia; Primates; Hominidae.
GUGUGUAAGUCUACAGUUGUGUACAGUAGUGUCCUAGGCCUUCACAUUCAUUCACCGCUCACUCACCCAGAGCAGCUUCCAGCCUUGCAAGUUCUAUUCAUGGCCGAAAUAGAACUAUUUGUGAACAGACUUGAUUCAGUGGAAUCAGUUCUUCCUUAUGAAUACACAGCCACUCUUCACAGAGGGUCUUUUUAGCCGUGCUUCACAUAUUGGGAUGUGUUGGCAAGUGUACUGAGAUGAGACAACUGCAGGUUUGAUUUUUGCCAAGCAUCAGAAGGAAAGCGCCCAUCUGAAAAUCUUGGUCAGGUACUAUUCGGGGAAAGAAUUGAACCUUCACCAUAUAAGUUUACAUUUAAUAAGAAGGAGACCUGUAAGCUUGUUUGUACAAAAACAUACCAUACAGAGAAAGCUGAAGACAAACAAAAGUUAGAAUUCUUGAAAAAAAGCAUGUUAUUGAAUUAUCAACAUCACUGGAUUGUGGAUAAUAUGCCUGUAACGUGGUGUUACGACGUUGAAGAUGGUCAGAGGUUCUGUAAUCCUGGAUUUCCUAUUGGCUGUUACAUUACAGAUAAAGGCCAUGCAAAAGAUGCCUGUGUUAUUAGUUCAGAUUUCCAUGAAAGAGAUACAUUUUACAUCUUCAACCAUGUUGACAUCAAAAUAUACUAUCAUGUUGUUGAAACUGGGUCCAUGGGAGCAAGAUUAGUGGCUGCUAAACUUGAACCGAAAA